CAGUCGCCGCGGGAAUACAGAGGGUGCGAGCGUUAAUCGGAUUUACUGGGCGUAAAGCGUGCGUAGGCGGCUUCUUAAGUCGGAUGUGAAAUCCCUGAGCUUAACUUAGGAAUUGCAUUCGAUACUGGGAAGCUAGAGUAUGGGAGAGGAUGGUAGAAUUCCAGGUGUAGCGGUGAAAUGCGUAGAGAUCUGGAGGAAUACCGAUGGCGAAGGCAGCCAUCUGGCCUAAUACUGACGCUGAGGUAUGAAAGCAUGGGGAGCAAACAGGAUUAGAUACCCCCGUAGUCCCUGUCUCUUAUAC
RNAcentral lists this ribosomal RNA (301 nucleotides) under uncultured bacterium. RNAcentral describes it as "partial 16S ribosomal RNA". It matches the Rfam family "Bacterial small subunit ribosomal RNA", at positions 509 to 807 of the family's 1533-position model. The record is from RNAcentral.